UACUUGGCAACCUGGCUCUCUUUGAUGAUCCUCCUAAAGAUGAAGAUUCCAUGGUUUCUUCUCUUAACUGAAUCAAAAUAGACUUAAAAGUUUUAGAAAUUUGUUGGAAAAUUUCUGUACUCAGCAAAGUGGCCAAUGUUCAUAUUCUACAGUAAGACUUGAUGAAGAAAGGUGAUUAAUUAUGAUCAAGCAAGAGCAAUAAAAGAGUCAAAUUGUUUGCAAAAGAAGACUGGAUACUUGUCACAUCACAGAGUCAGUCAUCAAAUCCCAGCCACAAUCGUGGCUGAAAGGCAAGAUAAGCAUUCCGAAUAAGAAAGCAAUAGUAGUUUUUGUUGCCUCCUAUACAUACAUACGAACCGCAAAAUACAACAAAAACCGUAUAUGGAUGCCAACUGUCCACUUCCCAGAUUAAAUUAUUACGGCCAUGCACAGUAAAUUUUGGCAGGGGUAAGAAAUGGAUACCUGAGAGAAGGUAGAAGACAAGACAAGGUCCAAUCUUGGUAAAGCCGAGCUCAGUAGUAAGAACUGACUAUUAUAUUAAUAGACAGAAAGCCUUGGGAGUUGGAAGUGGGAACUAUGGGAAGUAGUUAAGAAGCGGAACGUACGAAGAAACUGGGAAAGAUGGAGAAGUAAAGAGGAGGAACAGAGUAAUGAGUGUCUUUUGAAGAAGCAGCAGCAGCAGCCAUUAAUGGUCUGACAGAAGGAGCUGCUCAGCAGCAAUCGAAGAGUUUUGCCUUACUUUGAGCAAAGGAAGACAGUGACGACAGUUAGGGGAAGAUAUGAGGGUUUGUCUGGAAAAAGGAGAGCUAGGGAGCUAGAAGUAGUAGAAGCAGGGGAGUGGAAUUAUUGCAACUGAACUGAUUGGGGGGAAGAGGAUAACGUCAACAGCUUUGGAA
RNAcentral lists this long non-coding RNA (896 nucleotides) under Linum usitatissimum (flax). RNAcentral's name for it is "long non-coding RNA (LUSI_LNC002124)". Lineage: Eukaryota; Viridiplantae; Streptophyta; Magnoliopsida; Malpighiales; Linaceae. The record is from RNAcentral.